AGUCCAGCUGACACAGUUGGCACAGUCUGAGUUACAAGCUUAAGGAAGAAAGCUGCUGAAUCCUCUCAGGGAGGACUUGCAGAUUGGUUUUGGGCUGGAUUCCUGCCUAGUAGAAAGAGUAACCAGAUAUUCAGUUUCCUGUCUAACCACAGUUUAUGCAAAAUAGACUGGAGAGAAUAACCAUGCCAGGUUAUGAAGGCAGACUUGAACUUCAUACAGGUCUUCUGCACUGCUAACCAAAAUGGAUUAUUAUUUCAUUGUGUGACAGUGCUCAUCAGUGAUAAAUUUGUCAUUCAAAGUUGGUCUGCAAGGAUAUCUUUUUUCUACAAGGGUAAGUGUCUUUUCCCAGCUCUUUUAUCAAUAUCAAUUCAUAAACAGUAAAGAAACACAUCUGGCAAGGCUGCAUUAACAUAUAGGAGUAUAAUAAAUGGUACCAAAGGAAGGCAUAGAAAUGAUACAGUGAUGAUGUGUUCCCAUGAAGUACAGCAUGGUUUAACAACCACAUCCAGAUAAAUAAGAAUAUAUUUCUCAUUCAAUUAAAAAAGAAAAGGAAGACAAAAUAAAAUUAUGCACAGGUUAAAUAAGUAAAUUUACAUGGAAAUUAGUUUAAAAAACAUUUCAUAAAGUUUCUUGAUGAGAAAAAUUCAUCACAUAUAGAAAGGUUAAAAGUCAGUGAACUUUCUAUUGAAAUGUUUCCCUGCGAAAGUACAUACAGAUAUUUUCCAUCAAUCUAUAAUUUUGUUUGUUAAAUCAAAUAAAUUUCCAUAAACAAUUUUGAUUACGUACAUGAACAGUCAUAAAUAUAUAUUAAUAAUAUGCAUCUACAGAGAUAUUAUAUGUAUAUUUUAAGUGGUAUUAUUAUGAGUUUUUCUUUAUCCGAAUGUGGUUUUAUCAUAAUACUGAUAUGUAAAUUGAAUUUCUAGGUAUCAUAAGAAAUCUGCAAAGAUAAAACUGAAACUACACAUGUAACCAAGAAAGUUUAUAUUGAACUUAUUUCAUAAAAAUGUCACUAAAAUGCAGUCAAUGGCUCAAUAUCCAAGUUGAGAUCAGUAACAAAAGACAUUUCUCAGGAGUCACUAUUUGGACCAGCACUGUUUAACAUCUUUGUUGGCACUAGGACAAUGGAAUUUAGUGCACCCUUGGGCAACUUUGCUGACUACAGCAAUCUGUGUGGUGCAGUGGACAUGCUGCAGGGUAGGGAUGACAUCCAAAGGGACCUUGGCAUGUUUGAGAUGUAGUUGAAAAAUAUAAAAUGCAAGAUUCCAUACCUGGGACAGGGCAAUCCCAAAAACAAAUACAAGCUGGGCAGAGGUUUGGCAAGGUUUGCAAGAACAGAACAGAAAGGACAGAAAAGGGCUUUGGGGUACGAGUGUAUGUAGUGAGAGGACAAGAUGGGGAUGGAUUCUAAUACCUAAAAGGGGGUUUAUGAAAGCAAGGGUAGAUAGUGACAAAGAAAAGGGGCAAUGGUUUCAAACUGAAAGAGGGCAGAUUUAGUUUAAAUAUUAGGGAGAAAGUCUUUACUGUAAGGGUGGUGAGGCACUGGAGGAGGUUUUCCAGAGAAGUUGUGAAUAUCUCAUCCCUGGAAGUGUUCAAGGCCAGGUUGGGUUAAAAAAUUUAGUCCAGUGGAAGGUCUCUGCAGGAGUGCUGCAAUUAGAGGAUCUUUAAGGUCUCUUGCAAUCCAAACCAUUCUGGUUCUGUGCAAAUACUAGGUUUAUAGAAAUAUCUGCACCAAAGAAAAAGUCACAGGGUGCAUAGAUAAACAGGUUGUCUCAAGUGUACAGGCCAUAUGUAAGAAAAGACAUACAAAAGAGUAAUUGACAUAAGAGUCUAGAAUUAGAGAAAAUGAAAAUAUAUUGUUGAAGAAUCAAUUAACCUUGGGAAAGGGAUCCCAACUUAACCAUUUCGAUCACCAUUAAAUUUGAUCAUAACUAGGAUCAUAAGUAAAGCUACAUUUGAUACAUAAUGCUGUAGUAAACUCCACUGAGUUGUGCAGGUGUUCCUUUCUUGAGAAACAGUUAUGCAAAAUUUAUCACUCGUGACCUUUAUGUUAUUGCUAAUUACAUCAGCAUUGCUUUAUUGUUUUUAAAGUGAACUGUGAAUCUGGUCGCAGAACUUUCUGGUUCUGUUUGGACUGAGUACUUGAUUUGAGGACUGCCUAUAGAGGUAGUGUGGGCAGCCUAGACUACAAGGUAUCUGGACUAUUAAUACUAUUAAUCAAUUUAAAUUUUUAUUUUCAAUUGCUGAAGUCAGAACAUAUCCAGAUAGGGUCUCAAUCAGUGUGCUUCAAUUUGGGCAGCAGCUUCACUAUUUCAGUCCCGAGUUAUCCUCCAAAAAGGACUGCCAAUUAUGCUGAACAUAAUAAAAUUGUAUGGUAGCUUUUGUGAGGUUUCAUUUUAUUGAAUUUUUAAAUUGUGCCUUAUUACAGCUAAUUUUCACUGUUUGUACAGACUGCAAUUCUGCCCUUAUCAUCCUGCUACACGUAUCAUCCUUUGUGUUAUUUUUUUGAUGAUUCACAUUUAGUUAUAAUACAUAUGAAUUUUUCACUUGUUCUUUUUAGGUACAGAUGGUGAAUUAAAGCAUAACAUUGCACUUUAUUAAAAUAGAGGAACUGUUUUAAGAAUCUUAAAGGUAGGAUGAGAAGAAUAUGGAGGAAAAUUAUGCCAAUUAAAAAAAAAUAUCCAAAAUUCAUUUGUAAACAUGAAAAAAGGGCAUCAGAAUAAUGCUAAGGAGAUCUCUAUCCACUUUUAUUGCAGUGUCUUUAGUCACAGAGUAAAUCAGAUCAGCUGGUAUUCAUCUCAUCUCAUCUCAUCCAUCUUCUGCUAGCUAAAACUUUGUUUUCUGAAUGCAAGGUCUCCCAGUUUAAACUCUGAUACAAAAUACAGGUACCUCUAGGAAAAUGUUCAUCUCAUCUGUAUGCAUGUUUUCUAUACAACCACAAAAUAGGGAAAUUAAAUCGUGAUAUAUCCAACUAUUUCCUAUUUUGUUUGCAACAACAAGGAUUGCCCUUCAAACAAACAAACAAAACAAAACCUAUUGAACUCCCUGGAUCAUAGUAACACUGAAAAUGAAAACAACAUGAAGAAAGCAUGUUAUAUAAGUGCUCCUAAUAUAAAUCAGGCAUCAUGACACUAUUGUAAUACAAAUAGAACAAUAUUUUCUGUCAUGUGUUUCAUCCAAUAUUCUAUAUUAAUAAAAUGGAAAUAUUUAUCAAUUUAAAUAACAUACAACAGAAAUGAAGAGUAGCACAGGAGUAAUGCAGAAAUGUUUUUUGAAACCUAAGAAGGGAGGUUGUCAUGGAAACAGCUGGGUUAGAAAUAUUUUUGUUGCUACAGUUUCAUUCAGCUGCUGAUGCUUAAUCUUUAUGUUAUUCUAAUAAUUUAAUCUUCCUUAAGUCAUCAAUGAUUUUAUUUUUUUCAGAAUAAAGUAUUAAGUUAAGAACUUCUCAGAUAUAAAGAAAAGACUAAUGGCAUAUUCAUGUACACUGAAACACACAAAAAUGAAAAUUUUCAGUUUACUCCUACUCUCAUCUAGCUGAAAGACUAAAAGAAAAGUGAGUAAAAGAGUGAGUCAUUCCCUACAUAAAAGGCUAUCAUGAUUACACAAUAUUUUGCCUCAAGUGAACAAAAGGAAGAAGUAAACCUGCAAAAACAAUCUCACCAAAUUUGAAACACUUAAAAUAUUUAUCCUAUACGAAUAAAACAGGUGAACUUAAAAAUUCAACUAAAAAAACUCAUCUAUAAAAGUAAUUUAAAAACAAAAGAAAUUUAAAAUUAAAACUCUAAAAUAAACAAGUAGCAGGUUAAUCAGAAAAGGAAACGAGUAGUUAGUGACUAAAAAUAAAAAUUCUUGCUAACUAGCCUGUCUGCAAGAAACAGAAAUUUAAUUAGUCUUCAAACAUGCCUGCAACAAAUACAAGAUUCUAAAUAUUUGUUUUCAUAGAGAAAAAAGGUGAAAUACCAAAGGAAGCAGAAGGGAAAGGGUAACAGGUCACACAUCUUCAUAAAACCACCUGAAGGAAGCAAUAUAAAACAAAUUUGAAAGCAACCCCAAAGAAUUAAUAGUGUUUCGAUGAGCAAUAUAAAUAGCCAAAAUGAAAAAAAAAACAUCAGGGACUGAUAAAAACAAUCUGAAGACUGAGCCACAUAAAAGAAAAAGAAUGUACAAACAAACUUCAAGGCAAUAAAACAUACAGGGAAUGGAUCCAUGGGUUUGAAAUUGUACAUUAUUUCUUGGAACAAGAUCUGAUCUAAGAGUCUCUAUGGAUCCUUUUUUCCUGCUAAGCAUACUGGUUCACUGAUAGGUAAAACAUUUUCUGGACACAUUAAUCUUAACAAAGGUUGGAACACAACACAGGUCCUUUAGGACUUUCUCAUCAGUUAUCUGCACUUCAAUUUUCUGAUAGAUUUUUGUGGAGAAUUACAUUCAUUCUAUAUUGAGCCAACACCAUAUUAGUUCCAACAUCACAUAUUAAAUCAAGUAUCAAAUAGUAGCUGUACAUAUAUAAUCACUUGAAUUUCCUUGACCAUUGCCUUCAUCACUGAAGAUGGUAUUAGGUUGCACUUUUAUUGCACUGAAUUCAGAAUACAUAUUAAUCAAUACUGAUCAGUCCUUAUGUUUCUAAUGAUAAAGAUCAUAUGGGGACAGCAAGUGAUGGCAAGAAACAGUGCCUACCAUUUUCCUCAGUAUUUUUGGUACUGACUGGAGGUUUACUCUACUCCAAGGAAAGAGGCUAGAAUUUCUUCCAAUAAAAUUGAUGAAAAAAAAAGACGAUACUAUUUAACAACACACGAUGCCUUGCUGUGUUGGAACAAAAGUUUCAGACUCCUUGGAAUACCUUGCUUUUCCAGUGUCACCUUCCAGACAGAGCUGCUAUAGGUGUAGCACUUAGCUCUACCACAGUACUGAGUAGAAGGUUUAUUUAGGGCCCUUCCAUCCUGCUUAUAGGACUUAUUGUUAAAGUUCUUUCCCCCUAUUGCAAGAAUUUUAUAAAAAAAUUCUUACGUUGCUUGUAUCAAUGAAUAACCUGAAAUUAAAUAUUUUAGAACUUUCUUCCUACAAGCUUCAUCCUUUGUUCCAAGAGAGACUCAAGGAUGUUAAAAUAAUGAAGGUUCAUAUUUUUACUUUUCUUUUUCUUAAAUCAGCUGAUUCACAGCACUGAUGCUUGUGGGUGUGUGGCAGAUUCACCCUGUAUGGCUUCCAGACCUCUACCCAGCUAGCUGCUUUCUUACUCCCUCUUGUUAGCAGGAUGGGGAGAGAAAAUUAGAUUAAAUAUAUCAUUGGUUGAGAUAAAGACAUGGAAAUCCCUUACUAGAUAUCCCAGAUUGAGAAGCAAGAUGUAUUCUAUUACCAUCUGUAUGGCACUUUUCUUCUGUUAAGUGAGCGGUUUUCCUUAUCUCUUCCAGAACCAGUCCUCCCUCAGGGAAGACUUUUGCUGAUACUGGGCUAUUGAUUGUCACUGCGUGAUUGAUAAGAACAAUAACAUCCCAUUGUGAGAUGCUCCGCCCAGAGGGAGGAGCCAAGCAUUUCUACCAGGAUAUAAACUUGAGUUUCUGGAACACCAGUACAGCUUUUCCUGCACUGGAUUUCCCAGAGCAGCAGCUGCCUCUUCCACUGCAGGAAGACUACACCCUUUUUCUACAGGAUCACUGCUCCUACAGAACCACACCUGACACUCCAGAAGGACUGCAGCUAUAAUUCCCAGCUGGACUGCUACCAACACCCUGUCCAACAGGGUGUCAGGUUGUAUUCUGACUCUAUCAGUGCUGUUUUGGUUCACUGCAUUGUUUAUUUAUUUUUUUUUUAAAUUUUCUUCCCCAAUAAAGAACUGUUAUUCCUGCUCCCAUAUUUUUUUUUUUUGCCUGAGAGCUCCCCUUAAUUUCAAAUUUAUAACUAUUCAGAGGGAAGGGGUUUACAUUUUUCCAUUUCAAGGGAGGCUCCUGCCUUCCUUAGCAGACACCUGUCUUUCCAAACCUAGACACUAGAAAAAAUUAAGGGAAAAAUAAACUCAACUUGGAGAAAAUGCAUGCAAUUUAUUGUCAAUUAAACCUAGAGUAGGAUAGUGAGGAACAAAGCAAAACAUAAAAGAUAUUACACUUGACCUGACCUGCCUAAAGUUCAGAAAUAAUGCCUGUAAAAUCUCCUGUAAAAGGUCAUCAAUAUAUAGCAGUAACAGGUCACCCGAGCUAUAUUUUUAUGCAAUUUCCCGAAAAACAGUUUCAGAAGAUGUGUUUUACUAAGAGAGAAAAGGACUUAGGAAAUUAUUUCAUGCAAUAUCUAAAGAUAUUGUCUGAUUCUAUUUGAUCUAUCUGUAUUGAUAUAUACUCCCUCUAAUCUUGAGGUGCAAAAAUAAAGAGCAUGCUCUGUCACAAAAUUCCACAAAAGUACACCCUGAAGUGCCCAUUACUGAAAGUAACCAAUACCUUUU
This is a long non-coding RNA of Taeniopygia guttata (zebra finch), 6424 nucleotides long. The record is from Ensembl. NCBI's taxonomy places the organism in Eukaryota, Metazoa, Chordata, Aves, Passeriformes, Estrildidae.